RNAcentral lists this non-coding RNA (96 nucleotides) under Firmicutes bacterium ASF500. RNAcentral's name for it is "THF (Tetrahydrofolate) riboswitch aptamer". It matches the Rfam family "THF (Tetrahydrofolate) riboswitch aptamer". From Rfam's summary of the family: THF riboswitch presents a pseudoknot that joins P1-P2 and the loop of P3 and two THF binding. RNAcentral also lists the same sequence under 1 other name. The record is from Rfam by way of RNAcentral. Lineage: Bacteria; Bacillati; Bacillota.
GUCAGAGUAGACACAGCGCGUCAAGUGCCAUUGGAUGGGAGGUUGCCAAUGGACGAAGGGACGAAAAGCCCGCGUUGCUGUGCCGCAUCCGCUGCC